Molecule: ribosomal RNA, 2924 nt
Filed under: Klebsiella quasipneumoniae
Lineage: Bacteria; Pseudomonadati; Pseudomonadota; Gammaproteobacteria; Enterobacterales; Enterobacteriaceae
Description: 23S ribosomal RNA
Rfam family: Bacterial large subunit ribosomal RNA
Source: RNAcentral
GGGUUGUGAGGUUAAGCGACUAAGCGUACACGGUGGAUGCCCUGGCAGUCAGAGGCGAUGAAGGACGUGCUAAUCUGCGAAAAGCGUCGGUAAGGUGAUAUGAACCGUUACAGCCGGCGAUGUCCGAAUGGGGAAACCCAGUGUGAUUCGUCACACUAUCGUUAACUGAAUACAUAGGUUAACGAGGCGAACCGGGGGAACUGAAACAUCUAAGUACCCCGAGGAAAAGAAAUCAACCGAGAUUCCCCCAGUAGCGGCGAGCGAACGGGGAGCAGCCCAGAGUCUGAAUCAGCUUGUGUGUUAGUGGAACGGUCUGGAAAGUCCGACGGUACAGGGUGAUAGUCCCGUACACCAAAAUGCACAGGCUGUGAACUCGAAGAGUAGGGCGGGACACGUGGUAUCCUGUCUGAAUAUGGGGGGACCAUCCUCCAAGGCUAAAUACUCCUGACUGACCGAUAGUGAACCAGUACCGUGAGGGAAAGGCGAAAAGAACCCCGGCGAGGGGAGUGAAAAAGAACCUGAAACCGUGUACGUACAAGCAGUGGGAGCACCUUUAUGGUGUGACUGCGUACCUUUUGUAUAAUGGGUCAGCGACUUAUAUUCUGUAGCAAGGUUAACCGUAUAGGGGAGCCGCAGGGAAACCGAGUCUUAACUGGGCGUUAAGUUGCAGGGUAUAGACCCGAAACCCGGUGAUCUAGCCAUGGGCAGGUUGAAGGUUGGGUAACACUAACUGGAGGACCGAACCGACUAAUGUUGAAAAAUUAGCGGAUGACUUGUGGCUGGGGGUGAAAGGCCAAUCAAACCGGGAGAUAGCUGGUUCUCCCCGAAAGCUAUUUAGGUAGCGCCUCGUGAACUCAUCUUCGGGGGUAGAGCACUGUUUCGGCUAGGGGGUCAUCCCGACUUACCAACCCGAUGCAAACUACGAAUACCGAAGAAUGUUAUCACGGGAGACACACGGCGGGUGCUAACGUCCGUCGUGAAGAGGGAAACAACCCAGACCGCCAGCUAAGGUCCCAAAGUCAUGGUUAAGUGGGAAACGAUGUGGGAAGGCACAGACAGCCAGGAUGUUGGCUUAGAAGCAGCCAUCAUUUAAAGAAAGCGUAAUAGCUCACUGGUCGAGUCGGCCUGCGCGGAAGAUGUAACGGGGCUAAACCAUGCACCGAAGCUGCGGCAGCGACACGAUGUGUUGUUGGGUAGGGGAGCGUUCUGUAAGCCUGCGAAGGUGGCCUGUGAGGGCUGCUGGAGGUAUCAGAAGUGCGAAUGCUGACAUAAGUAACGAUAAAGCGGGUGAAAAGCCCGCUCGCCGGAAGACCAAGGGUUCCUGUCCAACGUUAAUCGGGGCAGGGUGAGUCGACCCCUAAGGCGAGGCCGAAAGGCGUAGUCGAUGGGAAACAGGUUAAUAUUCCUGUACUUGGUGUUACUGCGAAGGGGGGACGGAGAAGGCUAUGUUAGCCGGGCGACGGUUGUCCCGGUUUAAGCAUGUAGGCUGGUUAUCCAGGCAAAUCCGGAUAAUCAAGGCUGAGGUGUGAUGACGAGGCACUACGGUGCUGAAGUAACAAAUGCCCUGCUUCCAGGAAAAGCCUCUAAGCAUCAGGUAACACGAAAUCGUACCCCAAACCGACACAGGUGGUCAGGUAGAGAAUACCAAGGCGCUUGAGAGAACUCGGGUGAAGGAACUAGGCAAAAUGGUGCCGUAACUUCGGGAGAAGGCACGCUGGUGUGUAGGUGAAGUCCCUGCGGAUGGAGCUGAGACCAGUCGAAGAUACCAGCUGGCUGCAACUGUUUAUUAAAAACACAGCACUGUGCAAACACGAAAGUGGACGUAUACGGUGUGACGCCUGCCCGGUGCCGGAAGGUUAAUUGAUGGGGUUAUCCGUAAGGAGAAGCUCUUGAUCGAAGCCCCGGUAAACGGCGGCCGUAACUAUAACGGUCCUAAGGUAGCGAAAUUCCUUGUCGGGUAAGUUCCGACCUGCACGAAUGGCGUAAUGAUGGCCAGGCUGUCUCCACCCGAGACUCAGUGAAAUUGAACUCGCUGUGAAGAUGCAGUGUACCCGCGGCAAGACGGAAAGACCCCGUGAACCUUUACUAUAGCUUGACACUGAACAUUGAGCCUUGAUGUGUAGGAUAGGUGGGAGGCUUUGAAGCGUGGACGCCAGUCUGCGUGGAGCCAACCUUGAAAUACCACCCUUUAAUGUUUGAUGUUCUAACGUUGGCCCCUUACCGGGGUUGCGGACAGUGUCUGGUGGGUAGUUUGACUGGGGCGGUCUCCUCCCAAAGCGUAACGGAGGAGCACGAAGGUUAGCUAAUCCUGGUCGGACAUCAGGAGGUUAGUGCAAUGGCAUAAGCUAGCUUGACUGCGAGCGUGACGGCGCGAGCAGGUGCGAAAGCAGGUCAUAGUGAUCCGGUGGUUCUGAAUGGAAGGGCCAUCGCUCAACGGAUAAAAGGUACUCCGGGGAUAACAGGCUGAUACCGCCCAAGAGUUCAUAUCGACGGCGGUGUUUGGCACCUCGAUGUCGGCUCAUCACAUCCUGGGGCUGAAGUAGGUCCCAAGGGUAUGGCUGUUCGCCAUUUAAAGUGGUACGCGAGCUGGGUUUAGAACGUCGUGAGACAGUUCGGUCCCUAUCUGCCGUGGGCGCUGGAGAAUUGAGGGGGGCUGCUCCUAGUACGAGAGGACCGGAGUGGACGCAUCACUGGUGUUCGGGUUGUCAUGCCAAUGGCACUGCCCGGUAGCUAAAUGCGGAAGAGAUAAGUGCUGAAAGCAUCUAAGCACGAAACUUGCCCCGAGAUGAGUUCUCCCUGAGACUUUAAGUCUCCUGAAGGAACGUUGAAGACGACGACGUUGAUAGGCCGGGUGUGUAAGCGCAGCGAUGCGUUGAGCUAACCGGUACUAAUGAACCGUGAGGCUUAACCUUACAACGCCGAAG